UUUUCCGGUUGAUCCCGCCGGACCUGACUGCUAUCGGAUUGAUACUAAGCCAUGCGAGUCUUUGUAGUAAUACAAGGCAGACGGCUCAGUAACACGUAGUCAACCUACCCUAUGGACAAGAAUAAUCUCGGGAAACUGGGCAUAAUUCUUGAUAGAUCAUAAUGCCUGGAAUGGUUUAUGGUUAAAAUGAUUCGUCGCCAUAGGAUGGGACUGCGGCCUAUCAGCUUGUUGGUGAGGUAAUGGCCCACCAAGGCGAUUACAGGUACGGGCUCUGAGAGGAGAAGCCCGGAGAUGGGUACUGAGACACGGACCCAGGCCCUAUGGGGCGCAGCAGGCGAGAAAACUUUGCAAUGUGCGAAAGCACGACAAGGUUAAUCCGAGUGAUUUCUGCUAAAGAAAUCUUUUGCCAGUCAUAAAACCACUGGUGAAUAAGGGGUGGGCAAGUUCUGGUGUCAGCCGCCGCGGUAAAACCAGCACCUCAAGUGGUCAGGAUGAUUAUUGGGCCUAAAGCAUCCGUAGCCGGCUCUGUUAGUUUUCGGUUAAAUCCAUGUGCUCAACGCAUGGGCUGCCGAAAAUACUGCAUGGCUAGGGAGUGGGAGAGGUAGACGGUACUCAGUAGGAAGGGGUAAAAUCCUUUGAUCUAUUGAUGACCACCUGUGGCGAAGGCGGUCUACCAGAACACGUUCGACGGUGAGGGAUGAAAGCUGGGGGAGCAAACCGGAUUAGAUACCCGGGUAGUCCCAGCUGUAAACGAUGCAGACUCGAUGAUGCAUUGGCAUAAUAGCCAGUGCAGUGUCGCAGGGAAGCCGUUAAGUCUGCCGCCUGGGAAGUACGUACGCAAGUAUGAAACUUAAAGGAAUUGGCGGGGGAGCACCACAAGGGGUGAAGCCUGCGGUUCAAUUGGAUUCAACGCCGGG
RNAcentral lists this ribosomal RNA (917 nucleotides) under uncultured archaeon. Its description in RNAcentral is "SSU rRNA". It matches the Rfam family "Archaeal small subunit ribosomal RNA", at positions 1 to 922 of the family's 1478-position model. The record is from RNAcentral.